GGCAGACGGGUGAGUAAUGCAUAGGAAUCUACCUAGUAGUAUAGGAUAGCCACUAGAAAUGGUGGGUAAUACUGUAUAAUCCCUGCGGGGGAAAGAUUUAUCGCUACUAGAUGAGCCUAUGUCAGAUUAGCUAGUUGGUGGGGUAAUGGCCCACCAAGGCUGUGAUCUGUAGCUGGUCUGAGAGGAUGAUCAGCCACACUGGAACUGAGACACGGUCCAGACUCCUACGGGAGGCAGCAGUGGGGAAUAUUGGACAAUGGGCGCAAGCCUGAUCCAGCUAUGCCGCGUGAGUGAGGAAGGCCUUAGGGUUGUAAAACUCUUUCAGUAGGGAAGAUAAUGACGGUACCUACAGAAGAAGUCCCGGCAAACUCCGUGCCAGCAGCCGCGGUAAUACGGAGGGGGCAAGCGUUGUUCGGAAUUAUUGGGCGUAAAGGGCAUGUAGGCGGUUUGGUAAGUUAAAGGUGAAAUACCAGGGCUUAACCCUGGGGCUGCUUUUAAUACUGCAGGACU
Molecule: ribosomal RNA, 510 nt
Filed under: Anaplasma ovis
Lineage: Bacteria; Pseudomonadati; Pseudomonadota; Alphaproteobacteria; Rickettsiales; Anaplasmataceae
Description: bacterial SSU rRNA
Rfam family: Bacterial small subunit ribosomal RNA
Source: RNAcentral